AUGGCCGGAGGUGGGGGAGUAGGCGGCGGCGGGGGACAGAAGCAGGAUGAUCUGGCGCCGCACCCCGUGAAGGACCAGCUGCCCGGGGUAUCCUACUGCAUCACGAGUCCACCACCGUGGCCGGAGGCCAUUCUCCUUGGCUUUCAGCAUUAUCUGGUCAUGCUGGGAACUACUGUUAUCAUACCUACUGCACUUGUUCCACAAAUGGGAGGAAACAAUGAGGACAAGGCAGUUGUUAUCCAGACAUUGCUAUUUGUGGCCGGAAUCAACACCCUUCUACAGAGUUUCUUUGGUACCCGAUUGCCUGCAGUGAUUGGUGGAUCUUACACCUUUGUUCUACCCACCAUUUCGAUCAUACUUGCAGGACGCUACACGAACGAACCUGAUCCACACACUAAAUUCCUCAAAAUCAUGCGUGGAACACAAGGUGCUCUGAUCGUUGCUUCUGCACUACAGAUCAUAGUUGGCUUCAGUGGCCUUUGGCGUAAUGUUGCCAGAUAUCUCAGUCCACUAUCAGCUGCUCCUUUGAUAGCGCUAGUUGGCUUUGGACUGUAUGAGCUGGGUUUCCCAUCGGUUGCUAAAUGUGUUGAAAUUGGUCUGCCUGAACUGAUCCUCCUGGUGAUAUUCGCAAUGUACCUGCCCCAUACUAUACAUAUGAUGAAGUCUAUCUUCGACCGGUUUGCUGUUCUAUUCACUAUUCCCUUAGUGUGGCUGUAUGCAUAUCUGCUGACGGUUGGAGGAGCUUACAGGAAUGUAUCACCAAAGACCCAAUUUCAUUGCCGCACUGACCGGUCUGGACUAAUUGGUGGUGCCCCCUGGAUAAGAGUACCAUAUCCCUUCCAGUGGGGUGCUCCAACUUUUGAUGCUGGCGAAGCUUUUGCCAUGAUGGCUGCAUCAUUUGUNNNNNNNNNNNNNUCUACUGGUUCCUUCAUUGCUGUUUCAAGAUUUGCAAGUGCCACACCUCUCCCACCCUCUGUACUUAGCCGUGGUAUUGGCUGGCAGGGUGUUGGUAUCCUUCUGGAUGGGUUAUUUGGAACUGGAAAUGGAUCUUCUGUAUCGAUUGAAAAUGCUGGGUUGCUAGCCUUGACACGUGUUGGUAGCCGAAGAGUAGUGCAAAUAUCAGCUGGUUUUAUGAUAUUCUUCUCUAUCCUUGGAAAAUUUGGAGCUGUCUUUGCAUCAAUACCUGCACCCAUCUUUGCAGCCCUCUACUGCGUCUUCUUUGCAUACGUUGGUUCUGCUGGGCUUGGCUUCCUUCAGUUCUGCAAUCUCAAUAGCUUCAGGACUAAGUUCAUCCUUGGGUUCUCAGUGUUCAUGGGCUUUUCAGUUCCACAGUACUUCAACGAGUACACGUCCGUCGCAGGAUUCGGCCCUGUACACACGCGUGCAAGAUGGUUCAACGACAUGGUGAAUGUGCUGUUCUCGUCCAAGGCUUUCGUUGGUGGCAUUGUUGCAUACGUGCUGGACAACACGCUACACAGGCAUGACGGCGCUGUCAGGAAAGACCGCGGAUACCACUGGUGGGACAAGUUCCGGUCGUACCGGACUGACACAAGGAGCGAGGAGUUCUACUCCCUGCCGUUCAACCUCAACAAGUUCUUCCCCUCGGUUUGA
This 1611-nucleotide ribosomal RNA is filed under the name Triticum aestivum (bread wheat). Its description in RNAcentral is "partial small subunit ribosomal RNA". The record is from RNAcentral. Lineage: Eukaryota; Viridiplantae; Streptophyta; Magnoliopsida; Poales; Poaceae.